RNAcentral lists this non-coding RNA (30 nucleotides) under Mus musculus (house mouse). The record is from RNAcentral. Lineage: Eukaryota; Metazoa; Chordata; Mammalia; Rodentia; Muridae.
ACUUAUGUCAUCACUUGCCUCUGUAUGGGC